AUCUGUGUAGUUUAAUACAGAACAGUAGACUUUCUAUCUACUGGUCCCCAGUUUGGGGUACAGAUU
RNAcentral lists this transfer RNA (66 nucleotides) under Amphiura digitula. RNAcentral describes it as "tRNA-Glu". The record is from RNAcentral. Lineage: Eukaryota; Metazoa; Echinodermata; Ophiuroidea; Amphilepidida; Amphiuridae.